UGGGGAAUAUUGCACAAUGGGCGCAAGCCUGAUGCAGCCAUGCCGCGUGUGUGAAGAAGGCCUUCGGGUUGUAAAGCACUUUCAGCGAGGAGGAAGGCGUUAAGGUUAAUAACCUUGGCGAUUGACGUUACUCGCAGAAGAAGCACCGGCUAACUCCGUGCCAGCAGCCGCGGUAAUACGGAGGGUGCAAGCGUUAAUCGGAAUUACUGGGCGUAAAGCGCACGCAGGCGGUUUGUUAAGUCAGAUGUGAAAUCCCCGAGCUUAACUUGGGAACUGCAUUUGAAACUGGCAAGCUAGAGUCUUGUAGAGGGGGGUAGAAUUCCAGGUGUAGCGGUGAAAUGCGUAGAGAUCUGGAGGAAUACCGGUGGCGAAGGCGGCCCCCUGGACAAAGACUGACGCUCAGGUGCGAAAGCGUGGGGAGCAAACA
RNAcentral lists this ribosomal RNA (427 nucleotides) under uncultured bacterium. RNAcentral's name for it is "bacterial SSU rRNA". It matches the Rfam family "Bacterial small subunit ribosomal RNA", at positions 355 to 774 of the family's 1533-position model. The record is from RNAcentral.